RNAcentral lists this ribosomal RNA (608 nucleotides) under uncultured bacterium. Its description in RNAcentral is "bacterial SSU rRNA". The stretch from base 1 to 524 matches the Rfam family "Bacterial small subunit ribosomal RNA", at positions 338 to 873 of the family's 1533-position model. The record is from RNAcentral.
CCUACGGGAGGCAGCAGUGGGGAAUAUUGCACAAUGGGCGGAAGCCUGAUGCAGCGACGCCGCGUGAGGGAUGAAGGCCUUCGGGUUGUAAACCUCUUUCAGCAGGGACGAAGCGUGAGUGACGGUACCUGCAGAAGAAGCACCGGCUAACUACGUGCCAGCAGCCGCGGUAAUACGUAGGGUGCGAGCGUUGUCCGGAAUUACUGGGCGUAAAGAGUUCGUAGGCGGUUUGUCGCGUCGUUUGUGAAAACCCGGGGCUCAACUUCGGGCUUGCAGGCGAUACGGGCAGACUUGAGUGUUUCAGGGGAGACUGGAAUUCCUGGUGUAGCGGUGAAAUGCGCAGAUAUCAGGAGGAACACCGGUGGCGAAGGCGGGUCUCUGGGAAACAACUGACGCUGAGGAACGAAAGCGUGGGUAGCAAACAGGAUUAGAUACCCUGGUAGUCCACGCCGUAAACGGUGGGCGCUAGGUGUGGGUUCCUUCCACGGGAUCUGUGCCGUAGCUAACGCAUUAAGCGCCCCGCCUGGGGAGGUACGGCCGCGAGACGAAACGUACGAAGAAGUAGACGGCGUGAGACGUUGCCGAACGGACGACGACGAGGGAGGAGG